Molecule: long non-coding RNA, 721 nt
Filed under: Struthio camelus australis
Lineage: Eukaryota; Metazoa; Chordata; Aves; Struthioniformes; Struthionidae
Description: lncRNA (ENSSCUG00000005463.1)
Source: RNAcentral
GGGCCAUGCUUAAAAGAUAAGCAAUUGGAAGUGAAGUCUGGCUAAACCUUCUUCAUCUAACUCAGAUUUGAAUGCUCUCUUCUACAGAUUGUAAAGUUGGAUGUCUCAGGAUUUCAGAAAAUCUGCUUCCUGGUUUUCGCAUAUACGGACUCAGACCCAGCUGGACUAACCCUGAAUGAGCUACCAAAGGACCAUGGCACAGACAUUGGCAUCUCAGUCCUUAAACCGUUCCCCCACCUUCCCUCCUCUGCUGCACGACAGUGGGAAAGCAGGUCCUUCUCCAGCCAUUUCCCCGGAACAGCUGGGCUGUUGUGUGGCUAUAGACAGAGUGAAUUUUGCAGGCUAAAUGAAGGCCUUUCCACUGGAGCAUUUGCAUGAUGCACCCUAUUCUCCCGGCAAGGAAGACACCCGUGUGCAGACUGAUCACAAAGCUAAGCAAGCCACAGUUUCUGCAGAGAGCUGGCAUGGGGAAGAAGGGCCUUGCUUGCCCUUUGCCAUUCCCUUCAGGCUUCACCCAGCAGAGACCCAGGAGAGCGUCAGGCAACAGGACACGCCAGAGCCCUCCCGGGUCAGGCAGCAUCUAGGCUCCCCUCUCCCUUUGUGCCAUGAAGGGUGUGAGCCCCACCGAAAUGCUUCUGCAGUACGACUGAUCAGGCCUUCCUCCCCCUCCCCGGCUCUGAGCACUCCUACAUCUCCUCCCAAAGCCACGGAGAAAAACUGA